AUACCACUGAAUAGCAACGCGAUUACUCUCAAAAAAAGAAUGAUUUUUUUCGCUAUUCGGUUCAGUUUCCCUGGUGUUGGCGCAAUCUUCGCGCACCCCGGUUUAUCC
Molecule: small RNA, 108 nt
Filed under: Rosenbergiella nectarea
Lineage: Bacteria; Pseudomonadati; Pseudomonadota; Gammaproteobacteria; Enterobacterales; Erwiniaceae
Description: SraH RNA
Source: RNAcentral